GUGGGGAAUCUUGCACAAUGGGGGGAACCCUGAUGCAGCGACGCCGCGUGAGCGAUGAAGCCCUUCGGGGUGUAAAGCUCUUUCGGCAGGGAAGAUAAUGACGGUACCUGCAGAAGCAGCUGCGGCUAACUACGUGCCAGCAGCCGCGGUAAUACGUAGGCAGCGAGCGUUGUUCGGAGUUACUGGGCGUAAAGGGUGUGUAGGCGGUUGUUUAAGUUUGGUGUGAAAUCUCCCGGCUCAACUGGGAGGGUGCGCCGAAUACUGAAUGACUUCGAGUGCGGGAGAGGAAAGUGGAAUUCCUGGUGUAGCGGUGAAAUGCGUAGAUAUCAGGAGGAACACCGGUGGUGUAGACGGCUUUCUGGACCGUAACUGACGCUGAGACACGAAAGCGUGGGUAGCAAAC
Molecule: ribosomal RNA, 403 nt
Filed under: uncultured bacterium
Lineage: Bacteria
Description: bacterial SSU rRNA
Rfam family: Bacterial small subunit ribosomal RNA
Source: RNAcentral